AGUGAACGCUGGCGGUAGGCCUAACACAUGCAAGUCGAACGGCAGCACAGUAAGAGCUUGCUCUUACGGGUGGCGAGUGGCGGACGGGUGCGGAAUACAUCGGAAUCUACUUUUUCGUGGGGGAUAACGUAGGGAAACUUACGCUAAUACCGCAUACGACCUACGGGUGAAAGCAGGGGAUCUUCGGACCUUGCGCGAUUGAAUGAGCCGAGGUCGGAUUAGCUAGUUGGCGGGGUAAAGGCCCACCAAGGCGACGAUCCGUAGCUGGUCUGAGAGGAUGAUCAGCCACACUGGAACUGAGACACGGUCCAGACUCCUACGGGAGGCAGCAGUGGGGAAUAUUGGACAAUGGGCGCAAGCCUGAUCCAGCCAUACCGCGUGGGUGAAGAAGGCCUUCGGAUUGUAAAGCCCUUUUGUUGGGAAAGAAAAGCAGCAGGUUAAUACCCCGCUGUUCUGACGGUACCCAAAGAAUAAGCACCGGCUAACUUCGUG
RNAcentral lists this ribosomal RNA (492 nucleotides) under uncultured bacterium. RNAcentral describes it as "partial 16S ribosomal RNA". It matches the Rfam family "Bacterial small subunit ribosomal RNA", at positions 29 to 507 of the family's 1533-position model. The record is from RNAcentral.